CAGUUUAUGCCUCUUAUUUGCUGACUUUACAUGGUGACAGAAGUGGGAUCCCUAGCUACUGACCUUCAAUUCUGGUGCCACUUCACAGACACAAGCAAGGUGCCUGCAAAGAAUCUUUUGUGCUCUGUCGUCUCCUCCUGGUGGCUCUGGUUCCUGGUGAUUGGUUGCAGACAAUGAUACAGGCAUCAGGAAUGGUGGAGCCAAGAGACGGGAAUUCAUGGGUGACUGACACACCCUGUGGAAGAGAACCACCUGCCCAACACGAAACCCACCUUGGCCUGCAAGGAAGAAGAAAGGAGAUGACCUUCUCUCUAAAAACUCUUAAUCAAUACCAAAGGCAAGGACUUAAAUCUGCAUUUUAUUGUGCUAGUCUGGUAACCUCCUGUAACUGACUUUCCUCCCCCUCCCAACGUUGGCAUUUCUUAAGGAUUAAGCAUCUUUCCUUAGGCUAGGAACUGAUUGCUGAGCUCACCUGUGACCGCCCAGCUCCAGACAAUCGACUUGAGUCCUGCUAUGCCCACUGAGAUAGCAGACCCACUACCUGCUGUGUCCAUCAAGUGCCGACAGGGCAAUCUUGUGACUAUUGUGGGAGGGACAUUUCAAUCACAUGUGAAACACCCCAUUUGGCGGUAUAUAACCACUAUGUGCACCCCACUUCUUUGGUGCCCUUUCUUCCUUCGGGAAGAAAGGCACCGGGCCACGGUUCCUCAUAAAGCUUUGUUUAAUUUUCUCUUGCUUUUCUGUCUCAUGUGAAUUUAAUUCGUUCUCCAGCCAGACGAACCCACAUUUGGGAAGAGGAAAUGUCUUCCUCCCCUACAUAUGUUUUCAUCAGUCAGAUAGUCCAUGUUGUGCUGUAUUCACAACAAACUCCUAAGUCUCAGCUAAAAAUAACCAAGGUUUAUUUCUCGAACAUGCUCCAUGUCAUCAGGAGCUGGCUCUGUAUUAUCCUUGCUCAGUCUGGAGGAUUGAGUAGAUGGCAGCUAAAAGAUGCUCGAUCCAACUUCUUGCACAACUGCCAGGCAGGAAAAACACACUCCUACUGUUUGCCAAAGGUUUGUCUGGAAGAGACAGCCUCAUUUUUGCUCAAGUUUCAUUUGCCAAAGGCUCACAAAGUCACAUUUGACUUUAAGGGGCCAAGAAGAUACAUCCCUUCUGUGUGCCAGAGAAGAGCCGACAAUAUUUGGUGAACGGCAGUAAUAAUAACUAUACACUGUGCUCUAUUGUGUCUUCCAAAGCUUAUUUUUGCUUUUUGUUUGUUGAUUUUUUCAAAAAUUCCCUUCAGUUAUGUGAGUUACCGUAAAUCCUUCUAGUCAAUUUCUUUAAUAAGAAAACUGAAGUUAGCCAGAGUUAGCUUCUUUUGCUUAAAAAAAAAAAAACGGUCUAACGCAUUAGACUUUGCGUUAUAAAUG
This 1409-nucleotide long non-coding RNA is filed under the name Equus asinus (donkey). Its description in RNAcentral is "lncRNA (ENSEASG00005026930.1)". Lineage: Eukaryota; Metazoa; Chordata; Mammalia; Perissodactyla; Equidae. The record is from RNAcentral.